This is a long non-coding RNA of Gastrolobium bilobum, 2485 nucleotides long. RefSeq lists it as uncharacterized. The transcript is spliced from 5 exons. The record is from RefSeq and is a predicted model, not a curated record. Lineage: Eukaryota; Viridiplantae; Streptophyta; Magnoliopsida; Fabales; Fabaceae.
UAAAAUGGACCCUAUCCAGCGAGCAUAAAAAAGAAAGGGGAAAAAAUAUCUGUGUGUGAGGGCUUGUUCUUCGUCAAGGGUUCCGAUCUGCAAGCAAGGGGGACAACGAGGCCGUGUUCAACAGUGAGAUUAAAGCACACAAAGAAGGCACGAGCAACCAGUAGACUCCGCUGAUCAGAACCGACCUGGGAGCGUAACGAAAGAAAACAGAUAUAAGUGAUGGCUGUAUAACUCGUACGAGUAACCAAAAAUAGUUUGUGACUGGUGGGAGGAGUCUUGCAACAGACUACUGUGUGACCAUUGACGGAAGAAUGGGUGGAAGUGGGUCCGGCAUAGGCGGAGGUGAAAGCCUAAUUUCCAGGCAUUCAGCCUCCUCGUCCCCUUCUAGGGUGAAGAUGUGUUAUUGUGGAGUGCCGGCUGCGUUGCGCAUGUCAAAUACACAGAGGAAUCCGGGCUGAUAGUUUCUUCGAUGUGCUAAUUCCAGGACUCAGCACGAUUGUCACUUUUUUGAGUGGUUUGACGAACCAAGUUGCCGUAAUUGUCUGAUAGUGGAUAAAUCAGGUUUAUGUGGUGUACAUGGGAAGCAAAACUGGUAAACACCCACAUGUUAAUUCUGAAGCAAAACCAUGACAUGCUUGCUGCUGUUCACAGUGGAAGCAUUGAGCAAGCCCAAGCUUCCCAUGUUCAUAGCUACAGACAUGGUUUCAUAGGCUUUGCAGCCAAGCUUAUUGAUGAACAGGCUUCCCAAAGUUCUAAAAUGGCAGGAGUGAAGGCAGCUCGCUGUUCUGGGAUGUUCUGGGAUGAGUAGUGAAGGCAACUGGCUGUUCUGGGAUGACUACUCUUGAUGUUUUAAAGCAUAAUGUAUGGCAUGUGAAAGACCUUAUUCAAGUAAGUCAAUUGUAGCUCAUGAUAUUACUUUUCUUGCUGCUAGAGCCAGUUAUUUAUUUAUUCUUGCUGCUACAUGUUGAUGUAGUACUCAAAGCAUUGAUCAUUGUUUCAAGUUUAUUUGUGGAAAGUCCUUAUUUUUCUCAACCUCCCUGGAGUUAUUGAGUAGCACUAAUACUACAAUAUGUGAACAAUAUACAUUAUGAAUUUAUAUACUCAGAAAACAGUUGCAAGGAUUUAAUGAUGAUUCAAUGUACAUUGUGUACUUUUCUUCUAGUAACUUCUUUAUUAUAAUUUGAUGACAAUAUGAUUUAAUGAUGUUAAAUGCACAUAGUGGGAUUUUGUCUAUCAUAUUCGGUGAAGUUAAUGUUUUUAAUGCCCUUGUAUCUUUCUUCCCUUUCAUGAAACUUGUACCUUCAGCUUGUCAUAUAUAAUUCUUAUCUUGGUACUUCCUGAUAAUCCUCCUUGGGCUUUGUCAUCACUGACUUCAACAGAUUUAGAUGAGUCAACUUAUUUAAAUUAAUGCUUAUUAUUGCCAUACCAAAAAAAACUUAACUUUAAACAUUACCAAUAAGAUUAAAUGGAUAUAUUUGAAUUCAACUAUACUAGAUAUGUUAUAACAUUACCAAUAAGAUUAAAUGGAUAUAUUUUUGGCUCUUUUAGACUGAAAACUUAAAGAUUAUGGAUAAUUUUUGGUUCCUGUUAGUCCUGAGUACUUUAUAUAUUCUUGAAGUUGCCUUACUGUUUGUUUCUCGGAUCUCUUAAUUAUUUGUGUCCUCAUGAUUUAUUGCAAGUAUCUGCCAUGCUUGAACGGUGCUUAUAUACAGAAUUCGAUGGUGGACUUGAAGUAUGCACCACUAAUAUUGCAGUGCAACCCAUGAUCCAUAGAGAUGAGAUUGAUUGUUGUUGUGUAUAAUGUCAUAUGAGAAGAAGGAACAUGCUUCUUCACCUCAAGAAGCACCACACCAGACGACUUCGAGAAUGGGGAGUGGUUUAGUGGACGAUAUUUCAAUAGGACAGUUGCCUUUGAAGAGGGUCAAAUUGAUAUCAGACAUGUUGAUUCCAUCAUGCGAGUCAUUGAGUUGAAGAGUUUGACAAGGGGGCAUCAGUAGGUGCAGAAUGACAACGCUCAUUGGGGAAUUGUUUGCAGCAUCAAAUAUAACUGAAGUCCCAUGGAUUAGCAUCCGUUCUAUAGUCACCAGAUGCAUUGCUGGAUCAUCAUGAAUAGAGACUUCGAAGCCAUCUACAGACAAUGAUAGAAUGUCCACGCCAUCUCUGAUUGUAAGGGUUGAAGUGCAAAGGGUAUGGGUUACAAGUGCAAGAUUCCAUUUUGUAUAUAGCUGUUACAUUUCCAUUAGGAGUCAUAGUUGUUAUGGUAGUGUUAAUGUGUCUGUAACAAUCACACUUAUGAAUUACAUUACUUUUCAAAAGCUGGAAUCUGUAAUUACAACAGUUGUCAUGAGUCUUGGGGUCGGUUUUUCCCACAACCCAUUUAUUGAAUCAGGUUUUGAUGCAAAUCUGAUUUUUUUUUUUAACUUGAAUGUAGUCAGAAGGUGACUCUUGUAAUCUCAUUAUUGAUGAAUAAAUUGGCCUUCGUGUA